This 473-nucleotide ribosomal RNA is filed under the name uncultured bacterium. RNAcentral's name for it is "bacterial SSU rRNA". It matches the Rfam family "Bacterial small subunit ribosomal RNA", at positions 355 to 825 of the family's 1533-position model. The record is from RNAcentral.
UGGGGAAUAUUGCGCAAUGGGCGAAAGCCUGACGCAGCAACGCCGCGUGAGUGAUGAAGGCCUUCGGGUCGUAAAGCUCUGUCGGAGGGAACGAAUGCUCCUGAAGUUAACAGCCUCAGGAGGUGACGGUACCCUCAAAGGAAGCACCGGCUAACUCUGUGCCAGCAGCCGCGGUAAUACAGAGGGUGCAAGCGUUGUUCGGAAUCAUUGGGCGUAAAGGGCGUGUAGGCGGUGCGGUAAGUGCGGUGUGAAAUCCCACGGCUCAACCGUGGAAUUGCGCUGCAUACUGCCGUGCUAGAGGGAGACAGGGGUAAGCGGAACUGAUGGUGGAGCGGUGAAAUGCGUUGAUAUCAUCAGGAACACCGGUGGCGAAAGCGGCUUACUGGGUCUCUUCUGACGCUGAGGCACGAAAGCUAGGGUAGCGAACGGGAUUAGAUACCCCUGUAGUCCCUGAGCGGGCUGGCAAGGCGCAU